AGCCUACGGGUGGCUGCAGUGGGGAAUUUUGGACAAUGGGCGCAAGCCUGAUCCAGCCAUGCCGCGUGCAGGAUGAAGGCCUUCGGGUUGUAAACUGCUUUUGUACGGAACGAAAAGACUCCUUCUAAUAAAGGGGGUUCAUGACGGUACCGUAAGAAUAAGCACCGGCUAACUACGUGCCAGCAGCCGCGGUAAUACGUAGGGUGCGAGCGUUAAUCGGAAUUACUGGGCGUAAAGCGUGCGCAGGCGGUGAUGUAAGACAGAUGUGAAAUCCCCGGGCUCAACCUGGGAACUGCAUUUGUGACUGCAUCGCUGGAGUGCGGCAGAGGGGGAUGGAAUUCCGCGUGUAGCAGUGAAAUGCGUAGAUAUGCGGAGGAACACCGAUGGCGAAGGCAAUCCCCUGGGCCUGCACUGACGCUCAUGCACGAAAGCGUGGGGAGCAAACAGGAUUAGAUACCCUGGUAGUCG
Molecule: ribosomal RNA, 468 nt
Filed under: uncultured Comamonadaceae bacterium
Lineage: Bacteria; Pseudomonadati; Pseudomonadota; Betaproteobacteria; Burkholderiales; Comamonadaceae
Description: bacterial SSU rRNA
Rfam family: Bacterial small subunit ribosomal RNA
Source: RNAcentral